RNAcentral lists this ribosomal RNA (440 nucleotides) under uncultured bacterium. RNAcentral's name for it is "partial 16S ribosomal RNA". It matches the Rfam family "Bacterial small subunit ribosomal RNA", at positions 338 to 795 of the family's 1533-position model. The record is from RNAcentral.
CCUACGGGUGGCAGCAGUGGGGAAUAUUGCACAAUGGGGGAAACCCUGAUGCAGCGACGCCGCGUGAGUGAAGAAGUAUCUCGGUACGUACAGCUCUAUCAGCAGGGAAGAAAAUGACGGUACCUGACUAAGAAGCCCCGGCUAACUACGUUCCAGCAGCCGCGGUAAUACGUAGGGGGCAAGCGUUAUCCGGAUUUACUGGGUGUAAAGGGAGCGUAGACGGCAGCACAAGUCUGGAGGGAAAACCCGGGGCUUAACCCCGGAACUGCUUUGGAAACUGUGCGGCUGGAGUGCAGGAGGGGUAAGCGGAAUUCCUAGUGUAGUGGUGAAAUGCGUAGAUAUUAGGAAGAACACCAGUGGCGAAGGCGGCUUGCUGGACAGUAACUGACGUUGAGGCUCGAAAGCGUGGGGAGCAAACAGGAUUAGAUACCCGGGUAGUC